GUUGCUUAACACAUGCAAGUCGAACGAGGUCCACUGCGUAGCAAUACAAGGGAGACCUAGUGGCGAACGGUGCGUAACACGUGAGGGAACUUUGUCCCGGGUCUACUUGGGAUAACAGUUGGAAACGACUGCUAAUACCGGAUGACGUCGGAAUCUCGCAUGGGAUACUGACGAAAGGGUUACUGGAUCGGGAGAGCCUCGCGGCCUAUCAGCUUGUUGGUGAGGUAACGGCUCACCAAGGCAUCGACGGGUAGCUGGUCUGAGAGGAUGAUCAGCCACACUGGGACUGAGACACGGCCCAGACUCCUACGGGAGGCAGCAGUGGGGAAUCUUGCGCAAUGGGCGAAAGCCUGACGCAGCAACGCCGCGUGCGGGAAGAAGGCCCUCGGGUUGUAAACCGCUUUCAGUAGGAACGAAAAUGACGGUACCUGCAGAAGAAGGUGCGGCCAACUACGUG
Molecule: ribosomal RNA, 457 nt
Filed under: uncultured bacterium
Lineage: Bacteria
Description: bacterial SSU rRNA
Rfam family: Bacterial small subunit ribosomal RNA
Source: RNAcentral